GUAACCGCAAUCGCGAGUGGCUGGCGAGCGAAGAUCAGCGCCCGCUGCCGCCUCACUGUUGUCUCCUUUGUGCUCAGUGACGCGCCGCCUGAGGCUGGGGCCCCGCUGUGCUCCCGCCCCCGGGCCCUGCCCCCCUCCUACGGGAGGGUCGCGUCUUUAGGUGGGGGCUUUGUAUCCUAAAGGCCUCAUAAAAAAGGCCACACGGGUCACCUAAAACAUAAUCGUUCCCCUGAGCGGUGUAGUCAGCAUUCUGUGGUCGGGUUCGCAGGAUGUUUACUGCAUGCUUGCCUCCGUCUCAUGCACUCUUUUUGCACCCGGAAUUAGAGGAGAGAUGGUAGAUGGCCAUAAAAACCCCGAAUACAACGUACAGAAUGAAGAGCAGCUGAUAAAAUUCCGGGCCAGUUUGGAGUAAAGUGUGUACACAAUCAGCUGGGAGAACUGAGUCAUUCAUUCAUCAAAAUCGCAUGAAUGUGUCUACCAAGUGUGAUGUUAGACAACCUCUCCUGUUUCAUCUCCUGGCAACAGAAUGCAUCCUCCUUUUGGGA
This 545-nucleotide small RNA is filed under the name Pongo abelii (Sumatran orangutan). Its description in RNAcentral is "retained intron". Lineage: Eukaryota; Metazoa; Chordata; Mammalia; Primates; Hominidae. The record is from RNAcentral.